UAAUACGUAGGAGGCAAGCGUUAUCCGGAUUUACUGGGCGUAAAGAGGGCGUAGGCGGUUCUUUAAGUCGGAUGUAAAAUCUCCUGGCUUAACCGGGAGGGACCAUUCGAUACUAUUGGACUAGAGUGCAGCAGGGGGAGAUGGAAUUCCCGGUGUAGUGGUGAAAUGCGUAGAUAUCGGGAGGAACACCAGUGGCGAAGGCGGUCUCCUAGGCUGUUUCUGACGCUGAGGCCCGAAAGCGUGGGGAGCGAACAGGAUUAGAUACCCUGGUAGUCCACGCUGUAAACUAUGGACACUAGGUAUAGGGAGUAUCGACCCUCUCUGUGCCGAAGCUAACGCCUUAAGUGUCCCGCCUGGGGACUACGGCCGCAAGGCUA
This 377-nucleotide ribosomal RNA is filed under the name uncultured bacterium. RNAcentral describes it as "bacterial SSU rRNA". It matches the Rfam family "Bacterial small subunit ribosomal RNA", at positions 521 to 896 of the family's 1533-position model. The record is from RNAcentral.